CUUAUUUAUCUUGAUUUAAAGUGUCGCUUUAAGGCUAACAUAGGCUCUCCUCCUUAACUCCUAUUCAUUACGUCCUCGACGUAUCGAACGGAAACAUGCAUUGUUAAUUAUAUGCGUGGCUAAAAUGAAAGGG
This is a non-coding RNA of Anopheles funestus (African malaria mosquito), 133 nucleotides long. Lineage: Eukaryota; Metazoa; Arthropoda; Insecta; Diptera; Culicidae. The record is from Rfam.